UGAGGGAAAGUUGCAAAGAACUUUGAAGAGAGAGUUCAAGAGUACGUGAAACUGCUCAGGGGCAAACGGGUGGGCCCUCGAAGUCCGUGCGGAGAGGGAUUCAGCCGCGGGCCCCGGGGGUUCCGUCGUCGCCCGACACCUGGAGGUGCGGCGGCGUCGGGUUCCGUCCCGGGCGCGAGCGACGCAUUUUCCUCUCCCGUUGGACGCCGCAGCCGGUUGGGGGUCGGCGGUGAGUGCCAGGCGAGUAGGUGGCGUGGAUCCGGUCCCGAACCGCGGUCCCGUGUCUGCCUCGCCACUAUAGGCACGUGCGCGACGCCCGACCGAGGGAACCGUCGACUUCGGUCGACGAAGCCGUGGCCUCGCACCAAGAAUGCGAGCGGAGGCGCCGGCCAGGAGAGAGGAGGCGCACCCCGAGUCACCGCGCGGUGGCCGGGGGCGUCUGCCCCCCGGUGGGCCGGGCCUUCCGCGGAGCGAGCCUCGGGUUGGCGGCGAGUAGGUCGGUAACCCACCCGACCCGUCUUGAAACACGGACCAAGGAGUCUAACGUGUGCGCGAGUCAGUGGGACUCGAACAAGCCCACGGGCGGAACGAAAGUGAGUGGUCGGGAUCCGGCACGGAGAGUGUCGGCGCACCGACGGCCUGGCGCGCGCCGCGUGCUCGCGGAAGUCGCCGGCGCCGGAGCGUACGCGUUGGGACCCGAAAGAUGGUGAACUAUGCCCGGGCAGGUCGAAGCUAGAGGAAACUCUGGUGGAGGACCGCAGCGGUUCUGACGUGCAAAUCGAUCGUCGAACCUAGG
RNAcentral lists this ribosomal RNA (796 nucleotides) under Leptopholcus gracilis. Its description in RNAcentral is "eukaryotic LSU rRNA". It matches the Rfam family "Eukaryotic large subunit ribosomal RNA", at positions 354 to 915 of the family's 3401-position model. Lineage: Eukaryota; Metazoa; Arthropoda; Arachnida; Araneae; Pholcidae. The record is from RNAcentral.